This is a long non-coding RNA of Cydia amplana, 225 nucleotides long. RefSeq lists it as uncharacterized. The record is from RefSeq and is a predicted model, not a curated record. NCBI's taxonomy places the organism in Eukaryota, Metazoa, Arthropoda, Insecta, Lepidoptera, Tortricidae. The transcript has 2 exons.
AGGGACGGUAAUCAUGAUAAAGACAUUGAAAGGAGAGUGAAUGCUGGAAAUCGCUGUCGCAAAAAGCACGGUUGGCUGUACAUAGAGGGGUGUUGGUGCCUACACUCAUGUAUGGUAGCGAAAGUUGGGUAUGGCAGAAGAGGCAUCAGAGCCAAGUGAAUGCAGUGGAAAUGAGAGCGUUGAGAAGUGUGUGUGGUGUGAGAUUACAAGAUAGAAUUAGGAACA